AACGAACGUUAGCGGUGUGGAUUAGGCAUGCAAGUCGCGCGCGAAAGUCUUCGGACGAGUAAAGCGGCGAAAGGGUGAGUAAUACGUAGUCAACCUGCCCUCGAGAUCGGGAUAACCACUGGAAACGGUGGCUAAUACCGGAUGGUCCCACCGGGAGGAUUCUCCUGGUGCGUAAACGGUAGCGAAAGCUUCUGCUCGGGGAGGGGAUUGCGGGCUAUCAGCUAGUUGGCGGGGUAAUGGCCCACCAAGGCGAUGACGGCUAGCCGGUCUGAGAGGACGAUCGGCCACACUGGGACUGAGACACUGCCCAGACUCCUACGGGAGGCAGCAGUAAGGAAUAUUGCGCAAUGGGCGAAAGCCUGACGCAGCGACGCCGCGUGGGGAUGAAGGUCUUCGGAUUGUAAACCCCUUUCGGGUAGGGAAGAGUGGAACGAGCAAUCGUUCGGACGGUACCGUCCAGAAGCAGCCGACGCUAACUUCGUGCCAGCAGCCGCCGUAAU
This 500-nucleotide ribosomal RNA is filed under the name uncultured bacterium. RNAcentral's name for it is "bacterial SSU rRNA". It matches the Rfam family "Bacterial small subunit ribosomal RNA", at positions 29 to 524 of the family's 1533-position model. The record is from RNAcentral.